ACUAGAAUGGCCGAAAAAGGUAAUAAACUGUAAAUUUAUUAAUAAGUUAAUACUUUUCUGGUA
RNAcentral lists this transfer RNA (63 nucleotides) under Derotettix mendosensis. RNAcentral describes it as "tRNA-Tyr". The record is from RNAcentral. Lineage: Eukaryota; Metazoa; Arthropoda; Insecta; Hemiptera; Cicadidae.